ACUGCUCAGUAACACGUGGACAACCUACCCUUAGGUCGGGGAUAAACCCGGGAAACUGGGUAUAAUACCCGAUAGAUCUCGGCUGCUGGAAUGCAUCGAGAUCGAAAGCUCCGGCGCCUAAGGAUGGGUCUGCGGCCUAUCAGGUAGUAGUGGGUGUAGCGUACCUACUAGCCUACGACGGGUACGGGUUGUGAGAGCAAGAGCCCGGAGAUGGAUUCUGAGACACGAAUCCAGGCCCUACGGGGUGCAGCAGGCGCGAAAACUUUACAAUGCUGGAAACAGCGAUAAGGGGACCUCGAGUGCCAGGUUACAAAUCUGGCUGUCGUGAUGCCUAAAAAGCAUUGCAUAGCAAGGGCCGGGCAAGACCGGUGCCAGCCGCCGCGGUAACACCGGCGGCUCGAGUGGUAACCGUUAUUAUUGGGUCUAAAGGGUCUGUAGCCGGCCGGAUAAGUCUCUUGGGAAAUCCAGCAGCUCAACUGUUGGGCUUUCAGGAGAUACUGUCUGGCUCGAGGCCGGGAGAGGUGAGAGGUACUUCAGGGGUAGGGGUGAAAUCUUGUAAUCCUUGAAGGACCACCAGUGGCGAAGGCGUCUCACCAGAACGGACCUGACGGCAAGGGACGAAAGCUAGGGGCACGAACCGGAUUAGAUACCCGGGUAGUCCUAGCCGUAAACGAUACUCGCUAGGUGUCGGCCACGGUGCGACCGUUGUCGGUGCCGUAGGGAAGCCGUGAAGCGAGCCACCUGGGAAGUACGGCCGCAAGGCUGAAACUUAAAGGAAUUGGCGGGGGAGCA
Molecule: ribosomal RNA, 792 nt
Filed under: uncultured archaeon
Lineage: Archaea
Description: bacterial SSU rRNA
Rfam family: Archaeal small subunit ribosomal RNA
Source: RNAcentral